This 437-nucleotide ribosomal RNA is filed under the name Salmonella enterica subsp. enterica serovar Typhimurium. Its description in RNAcentral is "partial 23S ribosomal RNA". It matches the Rfam family "Bacterial large subunit ribosomal RNA", at positions 200 to 678 of the family's 2925-position model. The record is from RNAcentral. Lineage: Bacteria; Pseudomonadati; Pseudomonadota; Gammaproteobacteria; Enterobacterales; Enterobacteriaceae.
AUCUAAGUACCCCGAGGAAAAGAAAUCAACCGAGAUUCCCCCAGUAGCGGCGAGCGAACGGGGAGGAGCCCAGAGCCUGAAUCAGCAUGUGUGUUAGUGGAAGCGUCUGGAAAGGCGCGCGAUACAGGGUGACAGCCCCGUACACAAAAGCGCAUGUGCUGUGAGCUCGAUGAGUAGGGCGGGACACGUGGUAUCCUGUCUGAAUAUGGGGGGACCAUCCUCCAAGGCUAAAUACUCCUGACUGACCGAUAGUGAACCAGUACCGUGAGGGAAAGGCGAAAAGAACCCCGGCGAGGGGAGUGAAAAAGAACCUGAAACCGUGUACGUACAAGCAGUGGGAGCACCCUUCGGGGUGUGACUGCGUACCUUUUGUAUAAUGGGUCAGCGACUUAUAUUCUGUAGCAAGGUUAACCGUAUAGGGGAGCCGGAGGGAAACC